This 252-nucleotide ribosomal RNA is filed under the name uncultured bacterium. RNAcentral describes it as "partial 16S ribosomal RNA". It matches the Rfam family "Bacterial small subunit ribosomal RNA", at positions 524 to 776 of the family's 1533-position model. The record is from RNAcentral.
UACGUAGGUGGCAAGCGUUGUCCGGAUUUACUGGGUGUAAAGGGAGCGUAGGCGGGAAAUCAAGUCAAGUGUCAAAUCUAUCGGCUCAACCGGUAGUCGCGCUUGAAACUGGUUUUCUUGAGUGAAGUAGAGGCAGGCGGAAUUCCUAGUGUAGCGGUGAAAUGCGUAGAUAUUAGGAGGAACACCAGUGGCGAAGGCGGCCUGCUGGGCUUUUACUGACGCUGAGGCUCGAAAGCGUGGGUAGCAAACAGG